CCCUUAGAUGUCCGGGGCUGCACGCGCGCUACACUGAAGGAAUCAGCGUGCUAAAACCAUUGUCGAAAGACAUUGGUAAACCCAUUAAAAUCCUACGUGAUUGGGAUCGGGAAUUGCAAUUAUUUCCCUUGAACGAGGAAUUCCCAGUAAGUGUGGGUCAUAAGCUCGCGUUGAUUACGUCCCUGCCCUUUGUACACACCGCCCGUCGCUGCCCGGGACUGAGCCGUUUCGAGAAAAGCGGGGACUGCUGCUGUCGGGGCUUUCGGGCCUUGGCUUCGGUGGAAACCGCUUUAAUCGCAGUGGCUUGAACCGGGCAAAANUCGUAACA
This 328-nucleotide ribosomal RNA is filed under the name uncultured eukaryote. Its description in RNAcentral is "partial 18S ribosomal RNA". It matches the Rfam family "Eukaryotic small subunit ribosomal RNA", at positions 1470 to 1796 of the family's 1831-position model. The record is from RNAcentral.